RNAcentral lists this transfer RNA (73 nucleotides) under Trichonephila clavata. It matches the Rfam family "tRNA". From Rfam's summary of the family: Transfer RNA (tRNA) molecules are approximately 80 nucleotides in length. Lineage: Eukaryota; Metazoa; Arthropoda; Arachnida; Araneae; Nephilidae. The record is from Rfam by way of RNAcentral.
GUCCCUGUAGCUCAAUGGGCAGCGCGUUGGACUUCUAAUCCAAAGGUCGUGGGUUGGAAUCCCACCUGGGAUG